CCUGGUAUCUUAGAUGGUAAAGAAUCUGCCUGCAAUGCAGGAGACUGGGGUUCAGUCCCUCGGUCAGGA
RNAcentral lists this transfer RNA (69 nucleotides) under Ovis aries (sheep). It matches the Rfam family "tRNA". Rfam says of the family: Transfer RNA (tRNA) molecules are approximately 80 nucleotides in length. Their secondary structure includes four short double-helical elements and three loops (D, anti-codon, and T loops). The record is from Rfam by way of RNAcentral. Lineage: Eukaryota; Metazoa; Chordata; Mammalia; Artiodactyla; Bovidae.